This 442-nucleotide ribosomal RNA is filed under the name uncultured bacterium. RNAcentral describes it as "partial 16S ribosomal RNA". It matches the Rfam family "Bacterial small subunit ribosomal RNA", at positions 338 to 795 of the family's 1533-position model. The record is from RNAcentral.
CCUACGGGUGGCAGCAGUGGGGGAUAUUGCACAAUGGGGGAAACCCUGAUGCAGCGACGCCGCGUGGGCGAAGAAGUAUUUCGGUAUGUAAAGCCCUAUCAGCAGGGAAGAAGAAAUGACGGUACAUGAGUAAGAAGCACCGGCUAAAUACGUGCGAGCAGCCGCGGUAAUACGUAUGGUGCAAGCGUUAUCCGGAUUUACUGGGUGGAAAGGGAGCGCAGGCGGCACGGCAAGCCUGAUGUGAAAGCCCGCGGCCCAACCGCGGGACUGCAUUGGGAACUAGCGGGCUGGAGUGCCGGAGAGGUAGGCGGAAUUCCUAGUGUAGCGGUGAAAUGCGUAGAUAUUAGGAGGAACACCAGUGGCGAAGGCGGCCUACUGGACGGUGACUGACACUGAGGCUCGAAAGCGUGGGGAGCAAACAGGAUUAGAUACCCUUGUAGUC